CCAGACUCCUACGGGAGGCAGCAGUGGGGAAUAUUGCACAAUGGGGGAAACCCUGAUGCAGCGACGCCGCGUGAGUGAAGAAGUAUUUCGGUAUGUAAAGCUCUAUCAGCAGGGAAGAAAGAAAUGACGGUACCUGACUAAGAAGCCCCGGCUAACUACGUGCCAGCAGCCGCGGUAAUACGUAGGGGGCAAGCGUUAUCCGGAUUUACUGGGUGUAAAGGGAGCGUAGACGGCGAUGCAAGUCUGAAGUGAAAGGCGGGGGCCCAACCCCCGGACUGCUUUGGAAACUGCGAGGCUGGAGUGCUGGGGAGGUAAGCGGAAUUCCUGGUGUAGCGGUGAAAUGCGUAGAUAUCAGGAGGAACACCGGUGGCGAAGGCGGCUUACUGGACAGUGACUGACGUUGAGGCUCGAAAGCGUGGGGAGCGAACAGGAUUAGAUACCCCAGUA
Molecule: ribosomal RNA, 447 nt
Filed under: uncultured bacterium
Lineage: Bacteria
Description: bacterial SSU rRNA
Rfam family: Bacterial small subunit ribosomal RNA
Source: RNAcentral